CCCAGUCACGAUAGGAGUAUAGUCAGUGGGGGCAGACGCGAAACCUUGUGAUCUACCCAUGAGCAGGAUGAAGUUCCGGUAACACGGAAUGGAGGUCCGAACUGGUGGACGUUGAAAAGUCCUCGGAUGACUUGUGGGUAGGGGUGAAAGGCUAAUCAAACUUGGAGAUAGCUCGUACUCCCCGAAAUGUUUUUUGGAACAGCGUCAGGUGAAGUGUCACAGAGGUAGAGCUACUAAUUGGGUGAGGGGGUGUCAAAGCCUACCGAGCUCAGAUAAACUCCGAAUACUGAUGACAUGUUUCCUGGCAGUGAGCCCUUGGGUGCUAAGGUCCUAGGGCGAGAGGGAAAGAACCCAGACCAUCAGCUAAGGUCUCCAAAUGUAUACUAAGUUGAACUAACGUGGUCCCAUUGCACAGACAGCUAGGAUGUUUGCUUGGAAGCAGCAAUUCAUUUAAAGAGUGCGUAACAGCUCACUAGUCGAGCGAUAGGGCGUGGAUAAUAAACGGGCAUCAAGCGGUUUACCGAAGCUUUGGACUUUGCGCGAGCGAAGUGGUAGGGGAGCAUUCCGGCGACGAAGAAGGUGUGCUGUGAGGCAUGCUGGAGUUUCCGGAAAAGCAAAUGUAGGCAUGAGUAACGAUAAUUCUGGUGAGAAACCAGGACACCGAAAGACUAAGGUUUCCCUGGCCAUGCUAAUCAGCCGGGGGUUAGUCGGGUCCUAAGGCGUACCCGAAGGGGGAAGUCGAUGGACAACUGGUUAAUAUUCCAGUACUGCCGUUAACUGCGAAGGAAGGACGGAGGAGUGAAAGCACCGCGGCCUGACGAAAUAGGUCGUUGAAGGGGGGUAGUUAUACACCGGACAGGCAAAUCCGUUCGGAGUGAUGAGCCCUGAUAGUACCGCAAGGCUUCGGCUGCGCGGAUAGUGUGCCUAAACAGACUUCCAGGAAAAAUUUCUAAGCUAUAGGUUAAUGGCACCCGUACCGUAAACCGACACAGGUAGUCGAGGAGAGAAUCCUAAGGUGCUCGAGUGAUUCACGGCUAAGGAACUAGGCAAAAUGGCCCUGUAACUUCGGGAGAAGGGGCGCCCCUGUGAAAGGGGGCCGCAGUGAAGAGGCCCAGGCGACUGUUUAACAAAAACACAUGGCUAUGCUAAAUUGAAAGAUGAGGUAUAUGGCCUGACACCUGCCCGGUGCCGGAAGGUUAAGAGGGGAGCUUAGCGCAAGCGAAGGUUUGAAUCGAAGCCCCGGUAAACGGCGGCCGUAACUAUAACGGUCCUAAGGUAGCGAAAUUCCUUGUCGGGUAAGUUCCGACCUGCACGAAUGGUGUAACGAUCUGGGCGCUGUCUCGGCCGUGAGCUCGGUGAAAUUGAAGUCUCGGUGAAGAUGCCGAGUACCCGCAACGGGACGGAAAGACCCCGUGAACCUUCACUACAACUUUACAUUGAUUUUGGGUACGUCAUGUGUAGGAUAGGUGGGAGACUGCGAAGCUGUGUCGCCAGGCAUGGUGGAGUCAUUGUUGAAAUACCACCCUUGAUUUAUCUGGAGUCUAAUCCUGCAGAAGUGGGAGACAGUGUAUGGUGGGUAGUUUGACUGGGGUGGUCGCCUCCAAAAGAGUAACGGAGGCUUCCAAAGGUUCCCUCAGCACGCUUGGUAACCGUGCGCAGAGUGCAAUAGCAUAAGGGAGCUUGACUGUGAGACCGACGGGUCGAUCAGGUACGAAAGUAGGGUAUAGUGAUCCGGUGGUUCUGAAUGGAAGGGCCAUCGCUCAAAGGAUAAAAGGUACUCCGGGGAUAACAGGCUGAUCUCCCCCAAGAGCUCAUAUCGACGGGGAGGUUUGGCACCUCGAUGUCGGCUCGUCACAUCCUGGGGCUGGAGAAGGUCCCAAGGGUUCGGCUGUUCGCCGAUUAAAGUGGCACGCGAGCUGGGUUCAGAACGUCGCGAGACAGUUCGGUCCCUAUCUGUUGUGGGCGUAGGAAGAUUGAGAGGAUCUGUCAUUAGUA
This 1995-nucleotide ribosomal RNA is filed under the name freshwater metagenome. RNAcentral describes it as "bacterial LSU rRNA". It matches the Rfam family "Bacterial large subunit ribosomal RNA", at positions 677 to 2683 of the family's 2925-position model. The record is from RNAcentral.